UUACUGAUUUUCUGUUCCUAGGAUGCCAAUUCCGAUGGACCUUCUGCCGAAAGAGAAAUUCAGAAAAUUGAUGCCAGUCAAGACAAGAAUGUUUCUCCAGGAUUUGUUCAUCCAACAUUCUGGCCGAAAGAAUUAAAGACAUCUUUUGGCGUUAAGCAUAUUGGUAUUCAAAACCUUGGAUUUGAAGAGGAUUCUUCUGGAUCAAUUACUUUUGGACCCCCUUCACCCGAAGACAGUCCAAGACUGACGGCAGAAGAAGUAUAUUCUAGAGUGGACACGAAGAAGAAGAACCGCAUGAGAAACGAAAGUGCAGCAGCGAUAGCCCUCAUGAAAAACAGUACCUUACCACACACUGCGCUUUACUCUAACGACACAGAUUGUCUCAUACAUAACGAAUCAGAAGUUGUAUACGAUGAACGAACAGCACUUUAGUUGUCCUCAACUACAAUUUCUAAAACUUAAUCAGAACCAAAAACAAAAAAAAAACACAAACAAUGAACAAGACAAAACACACACA
This 517-nucleotide long non-coding RNA is filed under the name Octopus sinensis (East Asian common octopus). RNAcentral describes it as "uncharacterized LOC115229867". The record is from RNAcentral. Lineage: Eukaryota; Metazoa; Mollusca; Cephalopoda; Octopoda; Octopodidae.